Molecule: ribosomal RNA, 468 nt
Filed under: uncultured bacterium
Lineage: Bacteria
Description: partial 16S ribosomal RNA
Rfam family: Bacterial small subunit ribosomal RNA
Source: RNAcentral
GACGAACGCUGGCGGCGUGCUUAACACAUGCAAGUCGAACGGAAAGGCCCUGCUUUUGUGGGGUGCUCGAGUGGCGAACGGGUGAGUAACACGUGAGUAACCUGCCCUUGACUUUGGGAUAACUUCAGGAAACUGGGGCUAAUACCGGAUAGGAGCUCCUGCUGCAUGGUGGGGGUUGGAAAGUUUCGGCGGUGGGGGAUGGACUCGCGGCUUAUCAGCUUGUGGGUGGGGUAGUGGCUUACCAAGGCUUUGACGGGUAGCCGGCCGGGGAGGGUGACCGGCCACAUUGGUGCUGAGAUGCGGCCCAGCCUCCUACGGGAGGCAGCAGUGGGGAAUAUUGCACAAUGGGCGGAGGCCUGAUGCAGCAACGCCGCGCGCGGGAUGACGGCCUUCGGGUUGUAAACCGCUUUCGCCUGUGACGAAGCGUGAGUGACGGUAAUGGGUAAAGAAGCACCGGCUAACUACGUG